AUACGUAGGUGGCAAGCGUUGUCCGGAAUUAUUGGGCGUAAAGCGCGCGCAGGCGGUCCUUUAAGUCUGAUGUGAAAGCCCACGGCUCAACCGUGGAGGGUCAUUGGAAACUGGAGGACUUGAGGGCAGAAGAGGAAAGUGGAAUUCCAAGUGUAGCGGUGAAAUGCGUAGAGAUUUGGAGGAACACCAGUGGCGAAGGCGACUUUCUGGUCUGUAACUGACGCUGAGGCGCGAAAGCGUGGGGAGCAAACAGGAUUAGAUACCCUGGUAGUCCACGCCGUAAACGAUGAGUGCUAAGUGUUAGGGGGUUUCCGCCCCUUAGUGCUGCAGCUAACGCAUUAAGCACUCCGCCUGGGGAGUACGGUCGCAAGACUGAAACUCAAAGGAAUUGACGGGG
RNAcentral lists this ribosomal RNA (397 nucleotides) under uncultured bacterium. RNAcentral's name for it is "partial 16S ribosomal RNA". It matches the Rfam family "Bacterial small subunit ribosomal RNA", at positions 523 to 918 of the family's 1533-position model. The record is from RNAcentral.